Long non-coding RNA from Clarias gariepinus (North African catfish), 506 nucleotides. RefSeq lists it as uncharacterized. The transcript has 5 exons. Lineage: Eukaryota; Metazoa; Chordata; Actinopteri; Siluriformes; Clariidae. The record is from RefSeq and is a predicted model, not a curated record.
GAUCCACCUCAAGACGCUGGUGAUCUCAUUCUGCAAACUCACUGCUCUGCCGUCUCAACUAAGUGAAGACGUAGCACCAUGGGUCCCAAGAAUGUUAUUAAGGACGGUAGCAAGAAGAAAAGGGAGCCGCUUUCGGUUUGGUUUUCAAAGCAUCCGGUGCCGAGAGGAAUCAUAAAUUAAGGUUAUACCACCUGCCCUUGCUGCAGCACCUGGACAUCUCACACAACAUCAUUAGCCAUCUGAGUGACGACAUCAGGAACCUCAGAUCACUGCGAUAUUUAAACAUACAGGGAAAUCAGUUGACGGAUCUACCAGCUGGCCUGCUUCGUCUCCCUCUCACUCAUCUAAAACUAGACAUGGGUGGAACACACUCACGGCUGUCACAGCAGAACACACACUCUCACCAGACAUGCCCUGUGUGCCUGUAGCCGCUCACUCUGCCCAGCUUUCUCUAUUAAUUUAUUUACAUUUUAACAGUGUGUUUAAUUUGUUUCUCUCCUCCGAAA